Molecule: unclassified non-coding RNA, 301 nt
Filed under: Glomeraceae sp.
Lineage: Eukaryota; Fungi; Glomeromycota; Glomeromycetes; Glomerales; Glomeraceae
Description: partial contains 5.8S ribosomal RNA, internal transcribed spacer 2, and large subunit ribosomal RNA
Rfam family: 5.8S ribosomal RNA (bases 1-71)
Source: RNAcentral
GUGAAUCAUCGAAUUUUUGAACGCAAAUUGCACUUUCUGGUAUUCCGGGAAGUAUGCCUGUUUGAGGGUCAGUUAUAUAUUAAUCGUUGUUAUUGCUAUUAACGGUUAUGCAUCGUAAUUGAGUCGUCUUUACCUUUGGUUUUAGUUUACUUAAAAUUAUGUACGAUUUCUGUACGUAUUUAAAUUAUUUACUUACGCUCAUGAUAUCACAUAUUAGGUGCGUUCAUCCACAUGAUUUCGCGCCUAUCAUUUUUCAUUAUUUGACCUCAAAUCAGGUAAGAAGACCCGCUUAACUUAAUCA